UACGUAGGCAGCGAGCGUUGUUCGGAGUUACUGGGCGUAAAGGGUGCGUAGGCGGUUUUCUAAGUUUGGUGUGAAAUCUCCCGGCUUAACUGGGAGGGUGCGCCGAAGACUGGAAGGCUUGAGUAUGGGAGAGGUAAGCGGAAUUCCUGGUGUAGCGGUGAAAUGCGUAGAUAUCAGGAGGAACACCUGCGGUGUAGACGGCUUACUGGACCAUCACUGACGCUGAGGCACGAAAGCGUGGGUAGCAAACAGG
Molecule: ribosomal RNA, 253 nt
Filed under: uncultured bacterium
Lineage: Bacteria
Description: partial 16S ribosomal RNA
Rfam family: Bacterial small subunit ribosomal RNA
Source: RNAcentral